CAGCCGGGUAAUACGUAGGUGGCAAGCGUUGUCCGGAAUUAUUGGGCGUAAAGGGCUCGCAGGCGGUUUCUUAAGUCUGAUGUGAAAGCCCCCGGCUCAACCGGGGAGGGUCAUUGGAAACUGGGAAACUUGAGUGCAGAAGAGGAGAGUGGAAUUCCACGUGUAGCGGUGAAAUGCGUAGAGAUGUGGAGGAACACCAGUGGCGAAGGCGACUCUCUGGUCUGUAACUGACGCUGAGGAGCGAAAGCGUGGGGAGCGAACAGGAUUAGAUACCCCCGUAGUCCCUGUCUCUUAUACACAU
Molecule: ribosomal RNA, 301 nt
Filed under: uncultured bacterium
Lineage: Bacteria
Description: partial 16S ribosomal RNA
Rfam family: Bacterial small subunit ribosomal RNA
Source: RNAcentral